GUCAAGUAAUUAAGUGCAUGUGGUGGAUGCCUUGGCAGUCAGAGGCGAUGAAAGACGUGAUAGCCUGCGAAAAGCUCCGGGGAGGCGGCAAAUAUCCUUUGAUCCGGAGAUGUCUGAAUGGGGGAACCCACCUACUUUAAGGUAGGUAUUGCAACAUGAAUACAUAGUGUUGCAAGGCGAACGAGGGGAAGUGAAACAUCUCAGUACCCUUAGGAAAAGAAAUCAAUUGAGAUUCCCUCAGUAGCGGCGAGCGAACGGGGAUCAGCCCAUUAAGUUAUGUGUGUUUUAGUGGAACGCUCUGGGAAGUGCGAACGUAGAGGGUGAUAUUCCCGUACACGAAAGGGCACACAUAAUGAUGACGAGUAGGGCGAGGCACGUGAAACCUUGUCUGAAUAUGGGGGGACCAUCCUCCAAGGCUAAAUACUCCUGACUGACCGAUAGUGAACCAGUACCGUGAGGGAAAGGCGAAAAGAACCCCUGUGAGGGGAGUGAAAUAGAUCCUGAAACCGCAUGCAUACAAGCAGUGGGAGCACCUUCGUGGUGUGACUGCGUACCUUUUGUAUAAUGGGUCAGCGACUUAUAUUCAGUAGCGAGGUUAACCGUAUAGGGGAGCCGUAGAGAAAUCGAGUCUUAAUAGGGCGUUUAGUUGCUGGGUAUAGACCCGAAACCAGGCGAUCUAUCCAUGAGCAGGUUGAAGGUUGGGUAACACUAACUGGAGGACCGAACCCACUGUCGUUGAAAAGCCAGGGGAUGACUUGUGGAUAGGGGUGAAAGGCUAAUCAAGCCUGGUGAUAGCUGGUUCUCCCCGAAAGCUAUUUAGGUAGCGCCUCGGACGAAUACCAUAGGGGGUAGAGCACUGUUUCGGCUAGGGGGUCAUCCCGACUUACCAAACCGAUGCAAACUCCGAAUACCUAUGAGUACUAUCCGGGAGACAGACUGCGGGUGCUAACGUCCGUAGUCAAGAGGAAAACAAUCCAGACCGCCAGCUAAGGCCCCAAAAUCAUAGUUAAGUGGGAAACGAUGUGGGAAGGCAUAGACAGCUAGGAGGUUGGCUUAGAAGCAGCCACCCUUUAAAGAAAGCGUAAUAGCUCACUAGUCGAGUCGGCCUGCGCGGAAGAUGUAACGGGGCUAAAACUAUGUGCCGAAGCUGCGGAUGUAUACUUUGUAUACGUGGUAGGGGAGCGUUCUGUAAGCCGAUGAAGGUGUGUUGAGAAGCAUGCUGGAGGUAUCAGAAGUGCGAAUGCUGACGUGAGUAACGACAAAACGGGUGAAAAACCCGUUCGCCGAAAGACCAAGGGUUCCAGUCCAACGUUAAUCGGGGCUGGGUGAGUCGACCCCUAAGGCGAGGCCGAAAGGCGUAGUCGAUGGGAAAAUGGUUAAUAUUCCAUUACUUCUGUGUAAUGCGAUGAGAGGACGGAGAAGGCUAAAUCAGCCUGGCGUUGGUUGUCCAGGUGAAAGGAUGUAGGCAUGUAUCUUAGGCAAAUCCGGGGUACUCUAUGCUGAGAUCUGAUAGCAAGCUGUACUUGUACAGCGAAGUGGUUGAUGCCAUGCUUCCAGGAAAAGUCUCUAAGCUUCAGUUACACAGGAAUCGUACCCGAAACCGACACAGGUGGUCAGGUCGAGUAGACCAAGGCGCUUGAGAGAACUCUGCUGAAGGAACUAGGCAAAAUGGUACCGUAACUUCGGGAGAAGGUACGCUGUUGUUGGUGAUGGAACUCGCUUCCUGAGCUGACGACAGCCGCAGAAACCAGGCCGCUGCAACUGUUUAUUAAAAACAUAGCACUCUGCAAACACGAAAGUGGACGUAUAGGGUGUGAUGCCUGCCCGGUGCUGGAAGGUUAAUUGAUGGGGUUAGCGUAAGCGAAGCUCUUGAUCGAAGCCCCAGUAAACGGCGGCCGUAACUAUAACGGUCCUAAGGUAGCGAAAUUCCUUGUCGGGUAAGUUCCGACCUGCACGAAUGGCAUAAUGAUGGCGGCGCUGUCUCCAGCAGAGGCUCAGUGAAAUCGAAAUCGCUGUGAAGAUGCAGUGUACCCGCGGCUAGACGGAAAGACCCCGUGAACCUUUACUGCAGCUUGACACUGAACUUUGACCUUACUUGUGUAGGAUAGGUGGGAGGCUUUGAAGCUGGAACGCUAGUUCCAGUGGAGCCGUCCUUGAAAUACCACCCUGGUAAUGUUGAGGUUCUAACUCUGUCCCGUGAUCCGGGACGAGGACCGUGUCUGGUGGGUAGUUUGACUGGGGCGGUCUCCUCCUAAAGAGUAACGGAGGAGUACGAAGGUGCGCUCAGCGUGGUCGGAAAUCACGCGUAGAGUAUAAAGGCAAAAGCGCGCUUAACUGCGAGACCCACAAGUCGAGCAGGUACGAAAGUAGGUCUUAGUGAUCCGGUGGUUCUGUAUGGAAGGGCCAUCGCUCAACGGAUAAAAGGUACUCUGGGGAUAACAGGCUGAUACCGCCCAAGAGUUCAUAUCGACGGCGGUGUUUGGCACCUCGAUGUCGGCUCAUCUCAUCCUGGGGCUGAAGCAGGUCCCAAGGGUAUGGCUGUUCGCCAUUUAAAGAGGUACGCGAGCUGGGUUUAGAACGUCGUGAGACAGUUCGGUCCCUAUCUACCGUGGGCGCUGGAAAUUUGAGAGGAUCUGCUCCUAGUACGAGAGGACCAGAGUGGACGAACCUCUGGUGUACCGGUUGUGACGCCAGUCGCAUCGCCGGGUAGCUAUGUUCGGAAGGGAUAACCGCUGAAAGCAUCUAAGCGGGAAGCCUACCUCAAGAUAAGAUUUCCCUAGGACUUUAUGUCCUCUAAAGAGCCGUUCGAGACUAGGACGUUGAUAGGUUGGAUGUGGAAGCAUAGUGAUAUGUGAAGCUGACCAAUACUAAUUGCUCGUGAGGCUUGACUA
This 2891-nucleotide ribosomal RNA is filed under the name Acinetobacter baumannii TYTH-1. RNAcentral's name for it is "bacterial LSU rRNA". It matches the Rfam family "Bacterial large subunit ribosomal RNA". The record is from RNAcentral. Lineage: Bacteria; Pseudomonadati; Pseudomonadota; Gammaproteobacteria; Moraxellales; Moraxellaceae.